This 497-nucleotide ribosomal RNA is filed under the name uncultured bacterium. RNAcentral describes it as "partial 16S ribosomal RNA". It matches the Rfam family "Bacterial small subunit ribosomal RNA", at positions 28 to 507 of the family's 1533-position model. The record is from RNAcentral.
GAUGAACGCUGGCGGCGUGCCUAAUACAUGCAAGUCGAGCGAACAGACGAGGAGCUUGCUCCUCUGACGUUAGCGGCGGACGGGUGAGUAACACGUGGAUAACCUACCUAUAAGACUGGGAUAACUUCGGGAAACCGGAGCUAAUACCGGAUAAUAUAUUGAACCGCAUGGUUCAAUAGUGAAAGACGGUUUUGCUGUCACUUAUAGAUGGAUCCGCGCCGCAUUAGCUAGUUGGUAAGGUAACGGCUUACCAAGGCAACGAUGCGUAGCCGACCUGAGAGGGUGAUAGGCCACACUGGAACUGAGACACGGUCCAGACGCCUACGGGAGGCCGCAGUAGGGAAUCUUCCGCAAUGGGCGAAAGCCUGACGGAGCAACGCCGCGUGAGUGAUGAAGGUCUUCGGAUCGUAAAACUCUGUUAUUAGGGAAGAACAAAUGUGUAAGUAACUAUGCACGUCUUGACGGUACCUAAUCAGAAAGCCACGGCUAACUACGUG